RNAcentral lists this ribosomal RNA (563 nucleotides) under uncultured bacterium. RNAcentral describes it as "bacterial SSU rRNA". It matches the Rfam family "Bacterial small subunit ribosomal RNA", at positions 339 to 916 of the family's 1533-position model. The record is from RNAcentral.
CUACGGGAGGCAGCAGUGGGGAAUUUUCCGCAAUGGGCGAAAGCCUGACGGAGCAACGCCGCGUGAGGGAUGAAGGCCUCUGGGCUGUAAACCUCUUUUAUCAAGGAAGAAGAUCUGACGGUACUUGAUGAAUAAGCCACGGCUAAUUCCGUGCCAGCAGCCGCGGUAAUACGGGAGUGGCAAGCGUUAUCCGGAAUUAUUGGGCGUAAAGCGUCCGCAGGCGGCCCUUCAAGUCUGCUGUUAAAACGUGGAGCUUAACUCCAUCAUGGCAGUGGAAACUGUUGGGCUUGAGUGUGGUAGGGGCAGAGGGAAUUCCCGGUGUAGCGGUGAAAUGCGUAGAUAUCGGGAAGAACACCAGUGGCGAAGGCGCUCUGCUGGGCCAUCACUGACGCUCAUGGACGAAAGCCAGGGGAGCGAAAGGGAUUAGAUACCCCUGUAGUCCUGGCCGUAAACGAUGAACACUAGGUGUCGGGGGAAUCGACCCCUUCGGUGUCGUAGCUAACGCGUUAAGUGUUCCGCCUGGGGAGUACGCACGCAAGUGUGAAACUCAAAGGAAUUGACGG